RNAcentral lists this ribosomal RNA (302 nucleotides) under uncultured bacterium. RNAcentral's name for it is "bacterial SSU rRNA". It matches the Rfam family "Bacterial small subunit ribosomal RNA", at positions 542 to 843 of the family's 1533-position model. The record is from RNAcentral.
UGUCCGGAUUUACUGGGUGUAAAGGGUGCGUAGGCGGCCGAGCAAGUCAGUUGUGAAAACUAUGGGCUUAACCCAUAACGUGCAAUUGAAACUGUCCGGCUUGAGUGAAGUAGAGGUAGGCGGAAUUCCCGGUGUAGCGGUGAAAUGCGUAGAGAUCGGGAGGAACACCAGUGGCGAAGGCGGCCUACUGGGCUUUAACUGACGCUGAGGCACGAAAGCAUGGGUAGCAAACAGGAUUAGAUACCCUGGUAGUCCAUGCCGUAAACGAUGAUUACUAGGUGUGGGGGGACUGGCCCCUUCCG